AAAAGUACUUUGAAAAGAGAGUGCAAGAGAACGUGAAACCGACGUAAUGGAAGCGAAUGGAGUUGACGUAUCUGGUGCGUAUUCAAUCGUUGCGUCGCGCAAUUGCUGGCGUCUGCCUGUGGCGGCGUUGGUAUUGUUGCGUGGCGUGUCGAGGCAUUUGCGUACGGAGUGCGAUGGAUCGUGCGGGGGUGCGGGCUGGGCCGUGGCCGAGAGGAUCUUGCUUCGGGAAGAAAACCUUGGUGGCGGUUUGGCCGGUUGCCGCUGCGCGCUUUUGUGGACGUGCUUUUGCGUGGCGUUGUGUUCAGGCGUGUGGUGGGUUGGUUGCACAUGUGUGGCCGUCCUAUGGCGCGACUGGGCGCGGUGCGAUGCCAAGUGGUCUUUCCGUUGUAUAGUCAAUGACCCAUUCGACCCGUCUUGAAACACGGACCAAGGAGUUUAUGGUAUGCGCGAGUCAUUGGGCUCUACGAAACCCAUAGGCGAAAUGAAAGUGAGACUCUUGCGAGUUUGAAUGUGAUCGGUGCUUGUCUCGACGGGCGCCGAGCAACAUUGCCCCGUUUCUAGAACUUGUUCUGUUGCGGAGGUUGAGCGUAUGCUGUGAGACCCGAAAGAUGGUGAACUAUGCCUGAACAGGAUGAAGUCAGAGGAAACUCUGAUGGAGGUCCGAAGCGGUUCUGACGUGCAAAUCGAUCGUCUGAUUUUGGUAUAGGGGCGCAAGACUAAUCGAACCAUC
Molecule: ribosomal RNA, 730 nt
Filed under: Bursaphelenchus sycophilus
Lineage: Eukaryota; Metazoa; Nematoda; Chromadorea; Rhabditida; Aphelenchoididae
Description: eukaryotic LSU rRNA
Rfam family: Eukaryotic large subunit ribosomal RNA
Source: RNAcentral